Athalia rosae (coleseed sawfly) is the source of this 571-nucleotide long non-coding RNA. RefSeq lists it as uncharacterized. The record is from RefSeq and is a predicted model, not a curated record. Lineage: Eukaryota; Metazoa; Arthropoda; Insecta; Hymenoptera; Athaliidae. The transcript has 2 exons.
CUCGCUGCAACAGUAUGAUAAUAUUUCACGUCGUAAUAUAAUACGAGUGGUGCACAGAUAUAUUUAUGUAUGCUUGACGCGCGUUUUAUAGAGGCAGUCCAGUAAUUCACUCACUUGUACCUUAAGCACGUUGCCAUCAAGAUUUUCAGUAAUAAUAAUAUAACAUAACUAACCAGGAGCCGUGAAUAAUCCUGUCCCUAGCCAUGGUCGGAUAAAUUUGUACAACUCUUCCUUUUCGAUGGUUUUUUGACUGAGGAAAAUUGUCUGAAAAAUGAUCAGGUCCACCUGGGUAGAAAUAUGGAAAACAGCGGAAACAACGAAACUCUCAAGACAUCGAAAAAGUUUCAUCAAGUUCGAAAAAUAUCUCGGAAAAAUAUCUUGGCCCGUUUGACGUGGAAAGCGCCGAAUAUACACCAUUUAUUCUUUGGUAAUCGCAUGAACAGUUUCAUGACAAUAUUCCACAUCGCAUAGAUUGCUGCAGCUCUCAUGUGAUAUAUACUUAAAUACAAUUAUAAUUUACAAUGGUCUGUAAAUGAUGUAUUCCAAAAUUUAAUAAAAACGCUUAAAUUUA